AAACGAAUUAGAUAUUAUUCGUAAGCAUACCGCCCAAUUUUUUCACAAAUUGCGCUCAACUUUUCCUUCAAAUUUUUUUGCGAAAUUUUUUUCCGCUGAAAACUUUUACUUCCCUCCACUCUCUUCCGUCUUCUCAACUUAGGUUUAGAUAAGUUUUCUCUCAUCCUCCAUAGGUGAUACCAAAAGCUUGAACUCGAACUCGAAACGCAGGAUUCUGGGGCACGGUGUGAAUUAAUCGCGCAAACGGUGAUCGGGUUUUCAUCCUGGAUUCCUAACCUGAUUUUACAAAACUCCAUUGCAGCUGUUUCAUCGCAAAUUCAAGGUUUUCAGAAAACAUGAAUUCCAUCUUUUGUUGAUUUCACGAAGCAUAUUCAGAGCAAACGAAUUCACCCUUCUCUGUCGAUUUCACGAAGUAGUUCCAGGACACUGUGCUACCUGACUACCUGAGCGUGGCAUGUCAGUUGCCAGUAUCCAGCGGCGCACCGAGGAAUAUAUAAAUGGAGCUUAUGAUUGGAUUUUUACUUAACAAUUCAAAGAAGAGGGCAGUUGCAAGAGCGCGAUUUCAUGCCUCACGAGCCUAACACUUCAAACACAACAAACGGUGAAGUCAGACUUAUUUGGGGAAGCACGUGAUGUUAUCGACCUAUAAUAUUUUAGUUGUUUCGUUGUUACAUUUUAGUGGUUAAUUAGUUAUUUAUCCUGUCAGUUGCAGAUUAUUAGACAAUCACAUUUUUUAAAGUUUUUAAGAUUAUUGGACAGCUAUAUAUCACCAAUGUAAUGAUUUGUGACUUAAUAUGUAUGAGUCAUUUAUUUAUAACAUUAUUUUCAUCGUAUAA
This is a long non-coding RNA of Spinacia oleracea (spinach), 836 nucleotides long. RefSeq lists it as uncharacterized. The transcript is spliced from 4 exons. NCBI's taxonomy places the organism in Eukaryota, Viridiplantae, Streptophyta, Magnoliopsida, Caryophyllales, Amaranthaceae. The record is from RefSeq and is a predicted model, not a curated record.